CAACUUUCAACAACGGAUCUCUUGGCUCUCGCAUCGAUGAAGAACGCAGCGAAAUGCGAUACGUAAUGUGAAUUGCAGAAUUCAGUGAAUCAUYGAAUCUUUGAACGCACCUUGCGCCCCUUGGCAUUCCGAGGGGCACMCCCGUUUGAGUGUCGUGA
This 158-nucleotide ribosomal RNA is filed under the name Russula maculata. RNAcentral's name for it is "5.8S ribosomal RNA". It matches the Rfam family "5.8S ribosomal RNA". Rfam says of the family: 5.8S ribosomal RNA (5.8S rRNA) is a component of the large subunit of the eukaryotic ribosome. It is transcribed by RNA polymerase I as part of the 45S precursor that also contains 18S and 28S rRNA. The record is from RNAcentral. Lineage: Eukaryota; Fungi; Basidiomycota; Agaricomycetes; Russulales; Russulaceae.